UGCGGCAUUGUGUAAUGGUAGCACAGCAGACUCUGACUCUGUUUGUCUGGGUUCGAAUCCUAGUGCCGCAGCCA
This 74-nucleotide transfer RNA is filed under the name Clostridium sp. CAG:557. RNAcentral describes it as "transfer RNA-Gln(CTG)". It matches the Rfam family "tRNA". Rfam says of the family: Transfer RNA (tRNA) molecules are approximately 80 nucleotides in length. Their secondary structure includes four short double-helical elements and three loops (D, anti-codon, and T loops). RNAcentral also lists the same sequence under 2 other names. The record is from RNAcentral. Lineage: Bacteria; Bacillati; Bacillota; Clostridia; Eubacteriales; Clostridiaceae.